UCAGGGUAAAAAUAUAAAUUAUUGAAAGUCCUAUCUACUCGGAUACUACAUUAAAGAGAAUGCAACUUGAGAGGGUCGAUAUGAUCUGGUUUCUCUUAGCAUUUUCCAAUUCCAUUUUCAUCUUUGGUCUGGAAAAUUUCCAGGAUUUAUG
This is a long non-coding RNA of Hibiscus syriacus, 151 nucleotides long. RefSeq lists it as uncharacterized. The record is from RefSeq and is a predicted model, not a curated record. Lineage: Eukaryota; Viridiplantae; Streptophyta; Magnoliopsida; Malvales; Malvaceae. The transcript has 3 exons.